GACGAACGCUGGCGGCGUGCUUAACACAUGCAAGUCGAACGGAAAGGCCCUGCUUUUGUGGGGUGCUCGAGUGGCGAACGGGUGAGUAACACGUGAGUAACCUGCCCUUGACUUUGGGAUAACUUCAGGAAACUGGGGCUAAUACCGGAUAGGAGCUCCUGCUGCAUGGUGGGGGUUGGAAAGUUUCGGCGGUUGGGGAUGGACUCGCGGCUUAUCAGCUUGUUGGUGGGGUAGUGGCUUACCAAGGCUUUGACGGGUAGCCGGCCUGAGAGGGUGACCGGCAACAUUGGGACUGAGAUACGGCCAAGACUCCUACGGGAGGAAGCAGUGGGGAAAAUGGCACAAUGGGCGGAAGCCGGAUGCAGCAACGCCGCGUGCGGGAUGACGGCCUUCGGGUUGUAAACCGCUUUCGCCUGUGACGAAGCGUGAGUGACGGUAAUGGGUAAAGAAGCACCGGCUAACUACGUG
Molecule: ribosomal RNA, 468 nt
Filed under: uncultured bacterium
Lineage: Bacteria
Description: partial 16S ribosomal RNA
Rfam family: Bacterial small subunit ribosomal RNA
Source: RNAcentral